This 674-nucleotide ribosomal RNA is filed under the name Paenibacillus thiaminolyticus. Its description in RNAcentral is "bacterial SSU rRNA". It matches the Rfam family "Bacterial small subunit ribosomal RNA", at positions 801 to 1475 of the family's 1533-position model. Lineage: Bacteria; Bacillati; Bacillota; Bacilli; Caryophanales; Paenibacillaceae. The record is from RNAcentral.
AACGUGAAUGCUAAGGUGUUAGGGGGUUUCCCAUACCCUUUGGUGCCCGAAGUUAACACAUUAAGCAUUCCGCCUGGGGAGUACGACCGCAAGACUGAAACUCAAAGGAAUUGACGGGGACCCGCACAAGCGGUGGAGUAUGUGGUUUAAUUCGAAGCAACGCGAAGAACCUUACCAGGUCUUGACAUCCCUUUGACCGUCCUAAAAAUAAGGUUUCCCUUCGGGGAAGAGGUGACAGGUGGUGCAUGGUUGUCGUCAGCUCGUGUCGUGAGAUGUUGGGUUAAGUCCCGCAACGAGCGCAACCCUUAUUUUUAGUUGCCAUCAUUGAGUUGGGCACUCUAGAGAGACUGCCGGUGACAAACCGGAGGAAGGUGGGGAUGACGUCAAAUCAUCAUGCCCCUUAUGACCUGGGCUACACACGUGCUACAAUGGGUGGUACAACGAGAAGCUAAACCGCGAGGUGGUGCGAAUCUUAUAAAGCUUCUCUCAGUUCGGAUUGCAGGCUGCAACUCGCCUGCAUGAAGUCGGAAUUGCUAGUAAUCGCGGAUCAGCACGCCGCGGUGAAUACGUUCCCGGGUCUUGUACACACCGCCCGUCACACCACGAGAGUUUACAACACCCGAAGUCGGUGAGGUAACCUUUUUGAACCCACCCGCCAAAGGGGGGAUAAAGAU